GCCCGGAAACCUCUGGGUUCUGAGCUGUGACGUGGCUUCUGAGCUGGGAUCUCGGGGGUCUUGGUUCAUGGUUUGGGUCUCUGGGUUCUGGGC
MicroRNA precursor from Equus asinus (donkey), 93 nucleotides. NCBI's taxonomy places the organism in Eukaryota, Metazoa, Chordata, Mammalia, Perissodactyla, Equidae. The record is from Ensembl.